UUAAGUUCAGCGGGUAGUCCUACCUGAUUUGAGGUCAGAGCACAAAAUAUGGGGGGUUGUGAGCAAGAGUCGGCGCAGCACCAGACGAAACUUAUUACGUCAGGCAAUGGCUUAUCCCACUAAGUCUUUUAAGGCGAGCCGAGACCGGCAACGCCCAAAUCCAAGCCACCCGGAAACCCGGGGGUUGAAGGUUUCAUGAC
RNAcentral lists this unclassified non-coding RNA (200 nucleotides) under Tremella sp. RNAcentral describes it as "partial internal transcribed spacer 2". Lineage: Eukaryota; Fungi; Basidiomycota; Tremellomycetes; Tremellales; Tremellaceae. The record is from RNAcentral.